RNAcentral lists this ribosomal RNA (479 nucleotides) under uncultured bacterium. RNAcentral describes it as "bacterial SSU rRNA". It matches the Rfam family "Bacterial small subunit ribosomal RNA", at positions 8 to 507 of the family's 1533-position model. The record is from RNAcentral.
AGAGUUUGAUCCUGGCUCAGAUUGAACGCUGGCGGCAUGCCUUACACAUGCAAGUCGAACGGUAACGGGCCUUCGGGUGCCGACGAGUGGCGAACGGGUGAGUAAUGUAUCGGAACGUACCUUUCAGUGGGGGAUAACGUAGCGAAAGUUACGCUAAUACCGCAUAUUCUGUGAGCAGGAAAGCAGGGGAUCGCAAGACCUUGCGCUGAUUGAGCGGCCGAUAUCAGAUUAGCUAGUUGGUGAGGUAAAGGCUCACCAAGGCGACGAUCUGUAGCGGGUCUGAGAGGAUGAUCCGCCACACUGGAACCGAGACACGGUCCCGACUCCUACGGGGGGCAGCAGUGAGGAAUAUUGGGCAAUGGGCGGAAGCCUGACCCAGCAACGCCGCGUGGAGGAAUGAAGGCCUUCGGGUUGUAAACUCCUUUUGCAGGGGAAGAGGAAGGACGGUACCCUGCGAAUAAGUCACGGCUAACUACGUG